AUUGAACGCUGGCGGCAGGCCUAACACAUGCAAGUCGAACGGUAACAGGAAGCAGCUUGCUGCUUCGCUGACGAGUGGCGGACGGGUGAGUAAUGUCUGGGAAACUGCCUGAUGGAGGGGGAUAACUACUGGAAACGGUAGCUAAUACCGCAUAACGUCGCAAGACCAAAGAGGGGGACCUUCGGGCCUCUUGCCAUCGGAUGUGCCCAGAUGGGAUUAGCUAGUAGGUGGGGUAACGGCUCACCUAGGCGACGAUCCCUAGCUGGUCUGAGAGGAUGACCAGCCAAGCUGGAACUGGAACACGGUCCAGCACACUACGAGAGGCACCAGUGGCGAAUAUUGCCCGAUGGGCGCAAGCCUGAUGCAGCCAUGCCGCGUGUAUGAAGAAGGCCUUAGGGUUGUAAAGUACUUUCAGCGGGGAGGAAGGGAGUAAAGUUAAUACCUUUGCUAAUUGACGUUACCCGCAGAAGAAGCACCGGCUAACCCCCUG
This 490-nucleotide ribosomal RNA is filed under the name uncultured bacterium. RNAcentral describes it as "partial 16S ribosomal RNA". It matches the Rfam family "Bacterial small subunit ribosomal RNA", at positions 30 to 507 of the family's 1533-position model. The record is from RNAcentral.